CGGGGGGGGCAAGCGUUGUUCGGAAUUACUGGGCGUAAAGGGCUCGUAGGCGGCCAACUAAGUCAGACGUGAAAUCCCUAGGCUCAACCUAGGAACUGCGUCUGAUACUGGAUGGCUUGAAUCCGGGAGAGGGAUGCAGAAUUCCAGGUGUAGCGGUGAAAUGCGUAGAUAUCUGGAGGAAUACCGGUGGCGAAGGCGGCAUCCUGGACCGGCAUUGACGCUGAGGAGCGAAAGCUAGGGGAGCAAACGGGAUUAGAUACCCCGGUAGUCCUAGCCCUAAACGAUGAAUGCUUGGUGUAACGGGUAUCGAUCCCUGUUGUGCCGAAGCUAACGCAUUAAGCAUUCCGCCUGGGGAGUACGGUCGCGAGGCUG
RNAcentral lists this ribosomal RNA (372 nucleotides) under uncultured organism. RNAcentral describes it as "bacterial SSU rRNA". It matches the Rfam family "Bacterial small subunit ribosomal RNA", at positions 526 to 896 of the family's 1533-position model. The record is from RNAcentral.